RNAcentral lists this long non-coding RNA (2571 nucleotides) under Gadus morhua (Atlantic cod). Its description in RNAcentral is "lncRNA (ENSGMOG00000029787.1)". The record is from RNAcentral. Lineage: Eukaryota; Metazoa; Chordata; Actinopteri; Gadiformes; Gadidae.
GCCUAUGAUGCGGAUAGCAAGAUUGUAUCAGAUAGACUAUCCGUUUUGAUGUAUGCUGCCAUAGAAAAUGAUACGUAUGUCCAACAUAAUGCUUAUAUCAAAUGUACGUAUAAGGGUUGGAAUGAUCUGGUCAUGAAAUUCUUGUGUGAUAAACCUACUGAUCAAAUGUUAGCUGAAGUAUAUACACAUGACAUGUCCGACGGUAAAACAGUCACCAUCGGGGAAAUGGGUAAAUACUUCAGCUAACAUUUGAUCAGUAGGUUUAUCACACAAGAAUUUCAUGACCAGAUCAUUCCAACCCUUAUACGUACAUUUGAUAUAAGCAUUAUGUUGGACAUACGUAUCAUUUUCUAUGGCAGCAUACAUCAAAACGGAUAGUCUAUCUGAUACAAUCUUGCUAUCCGCAUCAUAGGCAUAAGAAAACAACACACCCAUUAUAAACGCCACCCACCACCACCAGGCUUUGGUUUGCAAAAUGACAAUGUAGGACGCCACAUUUGUAUGGCUUCAUGUAUCAGAAGCAGAUGUUCAUCGGACACACCUUCGGUGGUCAAUGAAUCCAGUUUUUCGGUAUUAUAGGUAUUGCAUAUUAAAUCACAUAGAUAAGAUUCGACCACACCAUAGAUUUUUCCGGGGGACACAGUCAACCCUGUAGUCUUCUUUAGAACAGUUUCUAAAAGUAACAGGAAGGGGUGUCUGUCCAGGAUGACACAAAUGUCAUGGUAGUGGGAUUCGUAGUGAUGAUGUGUCGCUCCCUGCAGGCAUGAAUGGCGUCGUUGACUUGGGCAAUCACACUGGCAUCCCCAGCAGUCCGCUUGCUUCUGAUGGUUGAUGAUGGCCACCACACAGACCCCCGUGGUAAAUCGCAGAACAGCCAGCGAUGCAGGGUUUAAACGGAUCUGUAUUGAUACAGGCCAUCCGUCGUCUCUCACAGCAGUGUCCACCUCCAGCUCACUGUCCUCUCCGAUGUGUAGGAAGGUCAGAUUCAAUCCGGUCAGAUAGACGGCAUACUCUUGAAGCCAGUGGGGUCCGGGUUGCACAGCCUUUAAAUCAGCAGUCUCCAUAGCCACACCCCCACCUUGAACAUGUUCAUCAUUGACCUGUGCUGCAUAGCGUAUCAAAAAUAUACCAUUAGAAUAUGAAAAUAAAAAACACACACAACACCCACAUAUUAAAAUAAGGUAUAGCCUAUCAAAAACACAUUUAAAAAGGAAAAUAAAACACCCUUAAUACUACUAGUAUGUACCCUCCACCUUCUUAUACAUUGCGGACAUUUUCUAAUGCUAGCAUAACCCUAAACAUACUCAAACACACCAUGUACCCCAUCAUCAAACCCAGACGACUCAAACAGGCACAUUUGGCAUUCAUCGUCAGUUGUGCUCCAUGGUUCUUCAUUCGUCUUAGCCAAAGAAUCAAUCUCUGCAAAAAUUCCACGUAGUGCAGACAGAUCAGCCCACUGCAUGAAAAAGACAUUAUCAAAAUAAUCAGCAGCUUCUAAAACACUGGCGCGUAGAGGAGAGCUACCGAUGCAAUGCAUAUCAUAGCACUGUGGUAGCUCGUCUGUAUCAACACCGCGUCUGAAAAAAAUGAACUCCUGUGGUCUCUUCGUAUGAUAGUUUGCAUCCAUGCGAUGAAUCCUCGAUUCAUACUGAAAGGUGCAUGCCAAACGAUGUUGAAUCCUCGAUUCAUACUGAAAGGUCCAACGGUAUUCAUGGGGUCCCCCAUGCCAUGUACCCUCGCCGCCGUCUAGCAUGGGGCAUAAAUUCUCCAAGAAAAAAUUCCACUCGUGAACGUUCAUCCGCCACUCUGUAGCACAAUCUUUAACUUUCAAAAUAACACAGCCAUCGACCCAUGAUAUUACAUACUCCAAGCCGUAUUCACCAACGUGGGUGAAUGAAUCCCCGGCACUCCGGUCUCUCAAGCCUAAAACAGGCCUCGUUCUUUUGAGUGGAGCAUUAAGCAGUACCGCAUCUCCACAACUAUCGGCAUAGUUAGACACAGGCGUACUAAAGACGGACAUACCAUCAGGCAUCUGGUUUUCAAUUUCCUCAUUGCUCGACACAGAGUCGUCCAUGGCGGGGGAAGACAAUGGCGACGGGGUACGAGGGCCCCUAUACAACCAAUAAGGACUAUCUGAUCUAUGGGUUUCUUCUGAUGAGCAGUCCAUGUUGAUUGAAAAGAAUACUGCAGACAACUUGAUGAAUGCGGGGACCCUACAGCAGCCGUCGCCCCCUUUUUAUACUAUGUUUACGACCCGUCAUAAAUCAUAAACAGGAAGUGUCUGUCUAUACAGAUCCCGCACCCCAGCGACCCCUGCAGGUUCACCACUGGCAUUACACCUGUCAUCCCUACACAAUGGAUUUUAUGACCCGUCAUAAAUCAUAAACAGGAAGUGGCUCUUGUGAAUAGGGAUACCCCCCUCCACCCCCACCCUCCCCAACCGGAAGUGUGUUCAGAUCGGAAUGGGCCCAAACAGCAUAUGAUAUCAACUACUCAGGUACAUGCAGAGUGUAGGGAUCCUGCUUCAGCAGCCAUUUCUUGAUAUAUUUCAGAGGAGGUACUGCACCCUCA